CGAACCUGCAAAGAGGAGAUAACUAUAUAUUUCUAGAAGCUUAGGGUACUGUACUGGAUGGGUAAUUAGCGGAAACUCUUAACUAAAACUCAGCAGCCCUGCCUAUCCGUAUGUCUGUUAGCAGGCUGACUAAUCGCAAUAGUGAGACAACUGAUAUUUUGAGAGACCAGGCUCGCCGCGGCAUCUCCACUUCGGGCAGCACCUAUACGGGACAUGCCGAAGUGGAUCAACAGAGAGCUGCAAAGCCGCGUCAGGACGUCGGGUGCCCCAAGCCAUGUUAGGAGACACUGAGACCCAGGUGUCAGACGCUUCGUAACUGAAUUGUAACAAACCCACCCGGGCCCGCUGCAUUGAACGCCUGCACAGGAUCACAGUGCAGCCGCAGGGAGCAUGCAUUCGUACGAUGUUGGAACUUCGGCGACGUGUAUAUUGCCUUGUACAGCGAAUGUCAGGGCGUCAAGGUGCGCCCGGACCGGUUCCUGAACCGUCAACACUAUCCCGAAAUAACCCGAUUACAACGAACCCGAGCUAGUUACUGGCCCACAUGGAAAUGUGUCAACCUUCCCUGCUAACUAUAGACUUAAUUUUACUUUGCACACUUAAAUUUAAUACUAGAAUCAAUUCACACACGUGGGACACAUUGCCAGACGAGUUCCUAUAGACACAUGAGACGGCACAUCAACUGGCGCGAGAGUCGAACGCAAAAUACAUCAAAUUAAUGUGAAAGCUUAAAAUGAAUACAACCGAGGAAAAACUUUCACUGAAUUAGCAUAUCUCUAAUCACCUGGUCAAAUGGCACGGAUUAAAAUAUAUCUAUGGGCUAAGACGAGCCCGAUAUCCACCAAAGCGGAGACGAGAGGAGAUAGGAGCCGCGGAACUGUCAGCUUAUUUCCGAAAAAGCAAAGAGUUUGAGCUGUGUUCAUAGCGGAGAUGUGAGCUGUGAGAGUCCAAAAUAGUCAAGUGAUGUCUACGAAAGGCCAGCCUACACACAUCUCCGCUCUGACGCGCUUCUUGAUCGCUCGACGCGGCAAUAAAUUCUAUAGAAAAAUGAGACAUCUCCUCUCCUCUCUGCUUGAUACAUUUCCACCGAAGCUAAGCGGAGAUGUGGAAAUGACGAAAUCUGAUUGGAUAUCAAAAAACAUCUCCUUUACUCUUCGCUUUGGUGAGUACCGGGCCUUAUCUUUGACCGCCCGGAAACUGUCAUUUCACUUCAGUUAUACCCGCUCCAUGGCACUUAUUUCUAUCUUGUUAAGUCUUAUUCGGAUUAUAUUAAAAUCAUCUCAACAUAUGAUGUUGUUAUAAGUUAUAAGCAUAAUUAAGUUUAAUUCCCCAACACAGUCAGGUUUAUAAGAAUAAGGUUUAGUCUAAAGUCUAUAUAUAAGGUUAAAUAAUUGUAAAUUGAUAAUUACUGUUAGUAAGUAGAAUAAUUAGAUAUAAGCACUAUUGUAAAUAUUAAAAAGACAGUAAAGAAUUUUAUAAUUUAA
Molecule: long non-coding RNA, 1484 nt
Organism: Leptidea sinapis
Lineage: Eukaryota; Metazoa; Arthropoda; Insecta; Lepidoptera; Pieridae
Exons: 2
Source: RefSeq, a predicted model, not a curated record